Molecule: ribosomal RNA, 588 nt
Filed under: uncultured bacterium
Lineage: Bacteria
Description: partial 16S ribosomal RNA
Rfam family: Bacterial small subunit ribosomal RNA
Source: RNAcentral
UGGGGAAUUUUGGACAAUGGGCGAAAGCCUGAUCCAGCAAUGCCGCGUGUGUGAAGAAGGCCUUCGGGUUGUAAAGCACUUUUGUCCGGAAAGAAAUCCUUGGCUCUAAUACAGUCGGGGGAUGACGGUACCGGAAGAAUAAGCACCGGCUAACUACGUGCCAGCAGCCGCGGUAAUACGUAGGGUGCAAGCGUUAAUCGGAAUUACUGGGCGUAAAGCGUGCGCAGGCGGUUUGCUAAGACCGAUGUGAAAUCCCCGGGCUCAACCUGGGAACUGCAUUGGUGACUGGCAGGCUAGAGUAUGGCAGAGGGGGGUAGAAUUCCACGUGUAGCAGUGAAAUGCGUAGAGAUGUGGAGGAAUACCGAUGGCGAAGGCAGCCCCCUGGGCCAAAUACUGACGCUCAUGCACGAAAGCGUGGGGAGCAAACAGGAUUAGAUACCCUGGUAGUCCACGCCCUAAAACGAUGUCAACUAGUUGUUGGGGAUUCAUUUCCUUAGUAACGUAGCUAACGCGUGAAGUUGACCGCCUGGGGGAGUACGGUCGCAAGAUUAAAACUCAAAGGAAUUGACGGGGUCAUAGCUGUUUCCU